GACGAACGCUGGCGGCGUGCCUAAUACAUGCAAGUAGAACGCUGAAGGAGGAGCUUGCUUCUCUGGAUGAGCUGCGAACGGGUGAGUAACGCGUAGGUAACCUGCCUGGUAGCGGGGGAUAACUAUUGGAAACGAUAGCUAAUACCGCAUAAUAGUAGAUGUUGCAUGACAUUUGCUUAAAAGGUGCAAUUGCAUCACUGCCAGAUGGACCUGCGUUGUAUUAGCUAGUUGGUGGGGUAACGGCUCACCAAGGCGACGAUACAUAGCCGACCUGAGAGGGUGUUCGGCCACACUGGGACUGAGACACGGCCCAGACUCCUACGGGAGGCAGCAGUAGGGAAUCUUCGGCAAUGGACGGAAGUCUGACCGAGCAACGCCGCGUGAGUGAAGAAGGUUUUCGGAUCGUAAAGCUCUGUUGUAAGAGAAGAACGAGUGUGAGAGUGGAAAGUUCACACUGUGACGGUAUCUUACCAGAAAGGGACGGCUAACUACGUG
Molecule: ribosomal RNA, 495 nt
Filed under: uncultured bacterium
Lineage: Bacteria
Description: partial 16S ribosomal RNA
Rfam family: Bacterial small subunit ribosomal RNA
Source: RNAcentral